GUGCUAGACCAUAGGAUGGGAUCCUGGUCUUUCCUUACUCUGUGCCAGGCCUGUAGACUGGGGCCUGGUCUUUCUUACUCUGUGCCAGGCCGUAGCAUGGGGUCCUGGUCUUCCUGUCUUGGACUAAUUGGGUCAUCCGACAUUCACCCAUAUCAACAACAAUUUAUGCGAUGCGGCAUAUUCGUGAAAACUAAUGCAAUCAUCCUAUUGCAUAAUCAUGAUGCAUGAAACAUGAUAAAACAUUUAAUUUAAAAGAUUGAGUUUAGUUCCACUCACCUCUGGCUGACUCUGACAAUACCGAAGCAGCUGAACUCACUGCUGGGGUCCUCGGUUCCUCGGGUCCGAACCUACACAGGUGGACUCAAAUGAGGGACCAAACAUACUUGAACAUAACUCUAAAGUAUUCCCCAAAAACCCCCUAAAACAUCCUGAAAAUAUCACAUAGAGAUAUGCAUGAAGUGGCUGAACAGGACACUUUCGGCGGCACCUUCGGCGGCCGAAAGUCCUGGACAGAUCCGAAAGUCAGGCACUUUCGGCGGCACCUUCGGCGGCCGAAAGUCCCAGACAGAGACGAAAGUCUCUUUUCGGGGGCAACUUCGGCAGCCGAAUGCUGCCUCCACAAAGGGG
RNAcentral lists this long non-coding RNA (627 nucleotides) under Manihot esculenta (cassava). RNAcentral's name for it is "long non-coding RNA (MESC_LNC002349)". Lineage: Eukaryota; Viridiplantae; Streptophyta; Magnoliopsida; Malpighiales; Euphorbiaceae. The record is from RNAcentral.